RNAcentral lists this ribosomal RNA (505 nucleotides) under uncultured bacterium. RNAcentral's name for it is "partial 16S ribosomal RNA". It matches the Rfam family "Bacterial small subunit ribosomal RNA", at positions 28 to 507 of the family's 1533-position model. The record is from RNAcentral.
GACGAACGCUGGCGGCGUGCCUAAUACAUGCAAGUAGAACGCACAGUUUAUACCGUAGCUUGCUACACCAUAAACUGUGAGUUGCGAUCGGGUGAGUAACGCGUAGGUAACCUGCCUGGUAGCGGGGGAUAACUAUUGGAAACGAUAGCUAAUACCGCAUAAUAUUGAUUAUUGCAUGAUAAUUGAUUGAAAGAUGCUAUUGCAUCACUACCAGAUGGACCUGCGUUGUAUUAGCUAGUAGGUGAGGUAACGGCUCACCUAGGCGACGAUACAUAGCCGACCUGAGAGGGUGAUCUGCCACACUGGGACUGAGACACGGCCCAGACUCCUACGGGAGGCAGCAGUAGGGAAUCUUCGGCAAUAGACGAAAGUCUGACCGAGCAACGCCGCGUGAGUGAAGAAGGUUUUCGGAUCGUAAAGCUCUGUUGUAAGAGAAGAACGGGUGUGAGAGUGGAAAGUUCACACUGUGACGGUAUCUUACCAGAAAGGGACGGCUAACUACGUG